GACAUAGGGAACAGAACAAAAGUCCCUAUCAUUUCUCCAGCAACAAGUCCUUCACUCUCAGUCAAGGAAAAUCCCUUUUUCAUUAGAGGAGCACUUCCUUCUUCCAGCCAGACUAAAGCCAUUGCAGCAAUUGUCAGAAACUAUGAUUGGAGGCAGGUUGUGAUCAUCUACGAGGAUAGCUCCUAUGGAACUGGGAUAGUUCCACAUCUGACUGAUGCCUUGCUGGAAAUCAACACUUUAGUCUCCUAUAGAAGUGUUCUUUCUCCUUCAG
Molecule: unclassified non-coding RNA, 271 nt
Filed under: Hevea brasiliensis (rubber tree)
Lineage: Eukaryota; Viridiplantae; Streptophyta; Magnoliopsida; Malpighiales; Euphorbiaceae
Source: RNAcentral